This 1315-nucleotide long non-coding RNA is filed under the name Bemisia tabaci. Its description in RNAcentral is "lncRNA ENSSSA1NGG002841". Lineage: Eukaryota; Metazoa; Arthropoda; Insecta; Hemiptera; Aleyrodidae. The record is from RNAcentral.
UCCUGAAUAGGUACUUGGGCCAAAUUCUGUCGGAUCUUUUACAUCGGUAGAAAUGCAACAUCCAUAGAUGAGUCCAAAACCCAUCACUGGCCAAGCAGAAGCGCCAAGCAAGACUUGAGUGCAUUCGAAACUCGCCUAAGUAUGUCUAAGUGCGGUGGAAGAGUAAAAAAAAUUCGGCCCAUAACCUCUUAAUCGACACCCCCCCUCUCCUCCUUUAAUAUGAGGUCGGAAGUUCUCCCGGCGAGAUUCCCGAUCGAUUGAUCUUAGAUAGGUACUUAAAGAAGACCGAAAUUUACAGGUGUGUCGUGAUUCAAUUUUUUUGUUUCCAGCUGAUGCGGUAUCAAAGAGCAGUACGAUAUUUUACGAAAUUCAAGGGCUCCUGAACAUCACGAACGCAAAGAAUGUAUCCUUAUCAUUGCCACCCGGAGGCACAUAAGAUAUGUCACCGUCCAGAGAGACGAAGAGUUCUGGAUUAAGAACAUGUUGGACAAGAUCGUGAAUUUCUACGAGACGACUCUACUACCCAAACUGUCGGGGAGAAAUGUUGCCUCAUAUGCAGAAUGUACGAUAUGCAGCAAAACUUGUUUACACUGUCUUGAGCACGUUGGAUAAUAAGAGAGUUCGGGAAAUUUAUGAUGACACGAAAGGUGCAGGCGCCUACGACGUGUUGAUGACAGAAUCUCGUGUCCGGAUAAUGCCCGAACAUUACUAUCUCGUUAUGGAUCCCGCGAUACGGAAUAAAGAAAGAGUGAGGGAAAUCUUGAAAGGCUAUCAUACGUCCAGAGAAAGCUGGAUCUCGAGCAGAGUUCCAGAAAGAAGUUCCUCGAAAGUUACCUGGCUGCAAACCCCGGGUGGGAUAUCGAAGACGGUGGGUUGAUGAUCGACCGGGCGACGCCGUACCUGGCGGCGUAUCCUACCGCCUUCGGAGUCCGUACCCCCCCGGCGCCUCAAAACACUCGAUCAAGAAGCACCAGAGGAUUCGAAGUCUACAGCUUGGAAGAUAGGCACUCCCAACCCAAGGCACCGCAGCCGCCGCAACCUCGCAGUAAUGGCUCCCAACCAAGGAGCAAUGGAGGAAUAAAAGUCGAUUCCCAGAAACCUGGAAGUUCACCACAAAAAUCCAGGAAGAGAAGAGGCAGAAGGUCAUUUUCGAAGUCGUUAUGCUGGACAGCGCAGAUAAAAAGCUCUUGAAUACGAUUCUAUAUGUUGAGAAAGCACGAAGGUAACGAAUUUGAAAUACUUACAAUGUAGGAUUUGCACACACAAAAUUUAUUGCUUCAUCUGUGAGUGCCUAAUGAGCUGAAUUCGCAGUAUU